RNAcentral lists this ribosomal RNA (439 nucleotides) under uncultured bacterium. RNAcentral describes it as "partial 16S ribosomal RNA". It matches the Rfam family "Bacterial small subunit ribosomal RNA", at positions 339 to 795 of the family's 1533-position model. The record is from RNAcentral.
CUACGGGAUGCUGCAGUAAGGAAUAUUGGACAAUGGAGGAAACUCUGAUCCAGCCAUGCCGCGUGAGUGAUGAAGGCCUUCGGGUUGUAAAGCUCUUUUAGGUGUGACGAUGAUGACGGUAACACCAGAAAAAGCCCCGGCUAACUUCGUGCCAGCAGCCGCGGUAAUACGAAGGGGGCGAGCGUUGCUCGGAAUCACUGGGCUUAAAGCGUACGUAGGCGGAUUAACAAGUCAGAAGUGAAAGCCCAGGGCUUAACCCUGGAAUUGCUUUUGAAACUGUUAGUCUGGAAUCCGGUAGAGGUUGGCGGAACUCCGAGUGUAGAGGUGAUAUUCGCAGAUAUUCGGAAGAACACCAGUGGCGAAGGCGGCCAACUGGACCGGUAUUGACGCUGAGGUACGAAAGCGUGGGUAGCAAACAGGAUUAGAUGCCCCAGUAGUC